GGCCGGUCUAUGCUGCAUGCCCUACGGGAGGUCUCUGGGCCAUCUGCUUGCGUCUGGCAUCCAGAGCGUCUGUGCAUGUGUGCGAGCUCAUGAACAGAAUGUGCCAUUGUGUGUGUGUGAGCUGAAAAGGGAACGUCAUCCCUGGAGCUGGCGUGAGAAUGUGUGGAAUCCUGGAGCAUUUCUCACCACAUAACCACAGCCUGUUGGAGCUGCGAAGAGCCUUGGAAGUUUUCCAGUCCAGCCCUGUGUUUACGAAAUGAGGAAACUGAGGCCAGGACCAAGAAGAAAGUAGCCAAGCUUGAUAUCACACCUACUAUGUGUUGUGGACUCUUACUUACUUAAUCCUCUCCACCUUUUGAGGCAGAUGAUAUUAAUCCCCUUUUAUAGAUAAGAAAAGUAAGACUUGUGGUACCAAGGGGCGGAAAAAGUGACAGAGCAGGAGUUUAAAUCCGCUCUGCUCAACUCUAGAGCUCACAGCUGUUCUUCCACACCAGGGGUUUUCAGAGUGUGGGCCAGGCAGCCCAGAGGUCCUUGAGAACUCUUCAGGGACCCUUUGAGGUCAAAACAAAAACGCCUUUUUAAAGGCGUUAUUUGCCCUUUUCACUUUCAUGCUCUCACAAAGUACCCUGGAAUUUUCCAGAGGCUACACGAUAUAUCUUCUAUUAAGCCAGAAAUGAAAGAAAUUUGUAAAAAUGUAAGGCAAUGACAUUCUUCUCUCUAAUUGUUUUUUGGCUUUGUAAAAUAAUUUUAUUUAACAUUUAUGUUAUAACAUGUAAUGGGCUUAUUAUUGCUGUUUUCAUUUAAUUCAUUAAUAAAUAUUUUUAAAAUU
Long non-coding RNA from Hipposideros armiger (great roundleaf bat), 829 nucleotides. RefSeq lists it as uncharacterized. Lineage: Eukaryota; Metazoa; Chordata; Mammalia; Chiroptera; Hipposideridae. The transcript is spliced from 2 exons. The record is from RefSeq and is a predicted model, not a curated record.